Molecule: ribosomal RNA, 465 nt
Filed under: uncultured bacterium
Lineage: Bacteria
Description: partial 16S ribosomal RNA
Rfam family: Bacterial small subunit ribosomal RNA
Source: RNAcentral
GACGAACGCUGGCGGCGUGCUUAACACAUGCAAGUCGUACGGUAAGGCCCUUUCCGGGGUACACGAGUGGCGAACGGGUGCGUAACACGUGCGUAACCUGCCCACAACUUUGGGAUAACGCUAGGAAACUGGAGCCAAUACUGGAUAUGUGCUCCUGCUUCAUGGUGGGGGUUGGAAAGCUCCGGCGGGUCUGGAUGGACUCGCGGCCUAUCUGCUUGUUGGGGCGGUAGUGGCCUACCAAGGCGGCGUCGGGUAGCCGCACUGCGAGACUGACCGGCCAUAUAGGGGCUGAGAGGAGGCACAGGCUGCGACGGGUGGCAGCUGUGGGGAAGCUUGACCAAUGGGCGCCAGCCUGAUGCAGCAGGGCUGCGUACGGGAUGACGGUCUUCGGGUUGAAGACCGUAUUCAGAAGGAACGGAGCUUUUUGUGACGGUACCUGCAGAAGAAGCACCGGCUAACUACGUG